ACCAUAGCAACUCCAGGCAGUCUUCUCUCCUGCCCCACUAUAUUCAGCCAACCCAUCUAAGCCUGAUGUGCCAAGGGACCUAUAACCCCCAAAGUUGAAGCAAAGUGGCACAGGAGCCUUCCUUGGGGAAUGCUUCAUGCUGUGGUGACCCUAUCUCAGUUGGGCCUGACUCAAGAAAGCAGAACUUUUGCACAGUUUUCAAAAGUGCAAAUAGUACAACACUUUCUCCACCACCUUUCAGUGACUGCCUCUCCCUAUCACCCUGCAAUCAGUGACAAGAGGGUCAGUCGGGAGCGUUGUCCGGCAGUCUUGUCUCAGCUCUGAAUAUCCAAGACUUCAGUCUGGAUUUGCAUUGGCAUUUGUUUCCACCAGAGAGAUAGAAGAAAUAAUAGGAACACCAAAAGCCCUUCGAUGGGCAAAAACCACAUACAGCUGACAAACAGAAACAAAAGGAACUUUCAAUACAAUAGAGCCUGAAUUUGAUUAUGAAGAAACAUUAAACCCAGACUGUGAAACAUUCUUCAGAAUAACCGAGAGAUACUCUUCAAAAAUGUCAAAGUCAUGAAGGACAAGGAAAGACCCUGAAACUGUCCCAGAUAAAGGCAGUAAAUAUACAUGUCAUAUAACUGA
Molecule: long non-coding RNA, 630 nt
Organism: Canis lupus familiaris (dog)
Lineage: Eukaryota; Metazoa; Chordata; Mammalia; Carnivora; Canidae
Exons: 2
Source: RefSeq, a predicted model, not a curated record